This 1100-nucleotide long non-coding RNA is filed under the name Olea europaea subsp. europaea. The record is from RNAcentral. Lineage: Eukaryota; Viridiplantae; Streptophyta; Magnoliopsida; Lamiales; Oleaceae.
AUCACUCGGCACAAGAUAAAUUUGUGCCCUUAAUCUCCCUUCCCUCUAUCAUCCGUCAUCUUCCCAUAAGCUAAACCACCAAAUUCGCGAAGAAGCAAAUCAAUCGGCUGGAUGACUUAGGCGCACGUAUCUGGUAAUUCUAUAUUUUGGUCUUCUUGCAUUAUUAACCAUAUUUUGGUGCUUUUCCGAAGACUAGGAGGUGACGUGGUGCAAGGAUAUAGUUUGUAUGUAUGAGCUGAGAAUGUCUCUGACGUAUCUAUGUUAGUGGAAUUGGUGGUGGGUUUUCAACCUUGAAAAAUCCCUCAUUUUGGAAGUGGAUAUGUUCUGUUCUUUUUUGCAUCAAUUAUUGGUCUGUAUUAUCAGAUUCUUCAUAAUUUCGUAACUAAUAUAAUAUUUCAGUUUACAUCUUAUUUGGUUUCGUCUCAUGUCAAAGCGAGAGAUGUAAUACUUUUCUGGGUUCUCUGGCCUGAAGUAUCUUCUUUUACAGCUUGGUUUUUUAAGUGAAUUUUUUUCAGCAAAUGCUUGUUUGCUUUGUCAUGUGUUUUUAUGGUUUGGAUUCUUAGUAUUUUCAACUUUGUUUCGACAUUUGGUAUUAUGAACUUAGAGCACUUGGAAACUUUUGACAUUUUAUCCAUAUGAUGAUAUGAAUUUUUGUUUUAUUAGCUGAGAAUGACUCUGACAUAUCUAUGCUGCAUGUUUGGAAACCUGAAGAUGAUUCUAAUGGAGAAGGCAAGACUAAAGAUCUUAUUAAAGACUUGUCAUCUAUGUUGGUGAGAGCUCCUCAAAUAUCAAAAAAAGAAGUCGUCGUGAUAUUCAUCAACAUGACUGUACGGAGGAUAAUGGGAAAGGAUGGGAAAAAUGCUUAUGAAUUUAUUCCAACUAUGAGACCAAGUGAAGAGUUUUCUUGAAUUUGUCUAACCCUACGUGAUUGGCACUAAAAUUGUUGUAAAUUAUGUAGUAUUUUCAUUGCCGUUCAAAUUAAUAGUUAACUUUGCUUGUAAUGGAACUAUUGUACAUGGAAACAUUGUGCAAAAUAUUAUUUUUUGCACAUGCUUAGUGGUUUAAGAAAUUAAUGCAUGUCAGUUGGCGAAUUUGUAUUA